GAUGAACGCUGGCGGCGUGCCUAAUACAUGCAAGUCGAGCGAACAGACGAGGAGCUUGCUCCUCUGACGUUAGCGGCGGACGGGUGAGUAACACGUGGAUAACCUACCUAUAAGACUGGGAUAACUUCGGGAAACCGGAGCUAAUACCGGAUAAUAUAUUGAACCGCAUGGUUCAAUAGUGAAAGACGGUUUUGCUGUCAAUUAUAGAUGGAUCCGCGCCGCAUUAGCUAGUUGGUAAGGUAACGGCUUACCAAGGCAACGAUGCGUAGCCGACCUGAUAGGAUGGUCGGCCCCACUGGAACUGAGACACGGUCCAGACUCCUACGGGAGGCAGCAGUAGGGAAUCUUCCGCAAUGGGCUAAAGCCUGACGGAACAACGCCACGUGAGUUAUAAAGGUCUUCGGAUCGUAAUACUCUGUUAUUAGUGAAGAACAAAUGUGUAAGUAACUAUGCACUUCUUGACGGUACCUAAUCAGAAAGCCACGGCUAACUACGUG
RNAcentral lists this ribosomal RNA (497 nucleotides) under uncultured bacterium. Its description in RNAcentral is "partial 16S ribosomal RNA". It matches the Rfam family "Bacterial small subunit ribosomal RNA", at positions 28 to 507 of the family's 1533-position model. The record is from RNAcentral.